This 311-nucleotide non-coding RNA is filed under the name Pongo abelii (Sumatran orangutan). The record is from RNAcentral. Lineage: Eukaryota; Metazoa; Chordata; Mammalia; Primates; Hominidae.
GUAAGGAACCUGCUGCGCCUGAGAUCCCAUUACCAAGGAAAGGGUCACUGAAAGGCGAUAACAAGAGAAAGGGCUCAUGUCUGACUGCCAGUGUUAGCAUAAAGGAGAGCCAUUUUGCCAAGAACAAUACAGCCUGUGGAACUCACCAGAGAAGUGCCCCAGUAACAACCCAACCUGCAUUAUUUGCAAACCAUGACCUGGAUGUUCCGAAGGUAGCAGCCACACAAAAUUCUCCGCCCAUCGAUUUGCUGGGUGAAAUUUGUGGAGGAGGUUUAACUUUGCUUAAAAAAUAAAAUAACAGUAAAAAACAA